AUCACUAAUGUCUGUAUGUGGCAGAUUAGUCAGAUCCUCCCUGUAGUGACGUCAUGUUAUUGGUAGCCUAUCUUCCCGCAGGGAGGUGUGUAUAAAUGGCUGUUUGGUGCGGGCCGGAUGUGCGUCAUCUGUUCUGUGCCUGCGCUCUUCCUGUUUACCGGCAUUCAACAGAGGUCUGUGGUUAAAACACAGCCGUUUGGGCAUUUUAACACGCUUGUGUCAUUUUGUGGGGCUUUGCGUACACUGGAGAGUCUAUUGUAAACAACCGUUACGUGCGGUCUGGCUCGUUACACUGCCUAGUCCCAGCAUUCCCGUGUGUUUACCGUUUGAGUGGGGACAUCCAAUAUAUGCUGUUUGGCAUCUACUUCAUUUCUAUCCCGUGGAUACUGACGUCAGCUCUGCUUUCUGGUGUGGCAAACGGCUGCGUUAUUUGGAGCUGUGUGUCCGACGGCAGUGAGGCUUUCCUUCACCGUGUGCUGUGUUAUGCUGUGUGAGCACCACUGAUAAAAUCACGGGUAUUGGAGUGAGUGUGGGUGUGUGUGUGUGCACUUAGUGUGAUUCUCCUCUUUUGCUCCCUCUCUUAGCCCAUUUGAUGCCAAUAGGCUACAGCUCCGAAGUAAAUGUGAAUCCUUAUUGUGGAUUGUGAUUUCCAGCUUAGUAAUUGGCUGGGUGACUAUUAUUCCUGCAUUUUAAACUUUUGUACUAAUAAACAAACUCUAUUUUGCUACCCACGUCUCUUGCUCAUUUUAUUCAGUGGAAUGAACCUGGGUUCCUUAUAACAUUUUAAGUGAACUGUGAUUCCCUGGUAUAGUCCCAGGGUGGCGUAGUCUAUUGUAUAUCUCCUGAGUGUUGAAUAUUGCUGCAAAAAGACCACUUUGCCACAUGUAGUUUUCAGAAAUAUACCCAGAUAGCGAGCCAAUCACUAAUAGUCAUUGCAUGAAUGCAGCUGCAGUUGCAAUGCUCUGGUUGCCAGAUAUUCCUUGAAAGGGACUUUGUCAAGCUUAAGGUCACUUAAGGUGCGACAGUUCAGACAGAUCUGAUUGAAAUGCAUUAUAUAUUUAAGUAAACCUCUUGAAACACUUUCAAAUAUUACAUUUGCUUACAAACUCUUUCUUGACAUUGUGACAUCUUCCAGAUAAUUUGGCAGCUGGAAGAAACGUCACAGUCAUCAACUUAUGGUCUCUGGUCUGCUGAACAUGCCAUUGAUUUCAAUCCAGGAUUAACAAAUUCACAAAUUAAUAAAAAGUUAUUUUUACAGAAUAAGUAGCAUCUUAAUAACAAACAGAAUAAAAAUAAAUGGAGCGGAGAUUCACAUUGGAAACUCUCUGGAGAACAACGGCAACAACAAUCCCAUAUGCACUGUGAUUUCUAGCAUUCCAGCUGGUGUUUCCUCCACCUACAUUUGUAACGAUAUGGAGGGUCGAUACGUGAAUCUGAUAAUUCCUGGAGAUUCAAGGAUUCUUACUCUGUGUGAGGUGGAGGUCUAUGGAGAAGGUGUGAUCAAACACGGAAAAUAAAGCUAUUAAUGAAUGAAAUUACUCAUUUUGGGCUGUUGAUUUCAAAAUACUUCUCACAAGAUAUGAUGCUUUUUGUAGCAUUUUU
This is a long non-coding RNA of Carassius auratus (goldfish), 1602 nucleotides long. RefSeq lists it as uncharacterized. The transcript has 4 exons. The record is from RefSeq and is a predicted model, not a curated record. NCBI's taxonomy places the organism in Eukaryota, Metazoa, Chordata, Actinopteri, Cypriniformes, Cyprinidae.